UUUGGGUUAGGGUGAGAACGCGCGGAAAGUAAAGCUGGAAAAGGCAAGGAGGCGUUGGCAUGCUGACCACCUGUUCCUCCAGCGAGUGCUCCGCGCUGCUAUAGGCUGGAGUGUCGCCCGGGUACCGGAAGUGGCCGAUGCCCAUCGCCCGUGACACCAAGACAACAGCUGCAGGUUCUGCGCUAGCUGCCGAGCGGCGCCGGGAGCCCAAGCGGAGUGAACGUGGGGCGGUAGCGGCCAGCGAUUGUGAGAUGGGGACCGAGAACAAAGAGGUAAUUAAGGAAGAAAUUUCUGAAGAAUCUGAGCUGCAUGGGCAAACAUUGGAAAAACUUCCAAAAGUGAUUUACCAAGUUCAUGGAUUUGGAGCAGUGUGUGAAAAAGACAUAUUAGAGGGACAUUCAAGAGAGUCCUCAGAAGAAAUUAUACAACAGAUGUCUCCCCAGGAGAGAGAUUUUGCACCAGGGUUGAUUAUCUUUAAGAAAUCACCCUCAAGUGAGAAAGACCAGAAGAAUAGUGAAAGCAAGAGAGGCUGCAGUCCUAGUCCUAAUCUGGUGACACAUCAGGGAGAUACCACAGCAGAGAGUGUUAGUACCUUUGCUAUUUCUGGCCAAAACUUCAUGGAGAAUUUAGAACCUAGCAGAAUUCAGAGGACAUCUGGGGGGGAAAAGCCUCAUACAUGUAAAGAAUGUGGGAAAGCCUUUAAUCAGAACUCACAUCUCAUCCAGCAUAUGAGAGUUCAUAGUGGAGAAAAACCCUUUGAAUGCAAAGAAUGUGGAAAGACAUUUGGAACUAACUCAAGCCUUCGAAGGCACCUGAGAAUUCAUGCUGGAGAGAAACCCUUUGCUUGUAAUGAAUGUGGAAAGGCCUUCAUUCAGAGUUCACAUCUUAUCCACCAUCAUAGGAUUCACACCGGAGAGAGACCCUAUAAAUGUGAAGAAUGCGGUAAAGCCUUCAGUCAGAAUUCAGCCCUUAUUCUACACCAGAGAAUCCACACUGGAGAGAAACCUUAUGAAUGUAAUGAAUGUGGGAAGACCUUUAGGGUUAGCUCACAGCUUAUUCAGCAUCAGAGAAUUCAUACUGAAGAAAGAUACCAUGAGUGCAAUGAGUGUGGCAAAGCCUUCAAGCAUAGCUCGGGCCUUAUUAGACACCAGAAAAUUCAUACUGGAGAAAAACCCUAUCUGUGUAAUGAGUGUGGGAAGGGCUUUGGUCAGAGUUCUGAACUUAUCCGUCAUCAAAGAAUUCACACAGGAGACAAACCCUAUGAAUGUAAUGAAUGUGGGAAAACCUUUGGCCAGAACUCAGAGAUUAUUAGACAUAUUAGAAUUCACACUGGUGAGAAGCCCUACGUAUGUAAAGAAUGUGGGAAAGCCUUCAGGGGGAAUUCAGAACUUCUUAGACAUGAGAGAAUUCACACAGGAGAGAAACCCUAUGAGUGCUUUGAGUGUGGGAAGGCCUUCAGGCGGACAUCUCACCUUAUUGUCCACCAGAGAAUCCAUACUGGAGAGAAACCCCAUCAAUGUAAUGAGUGUGCGAGAACCUUUUGGGAUAACUCUGAGCUGCUUCUUCACCAGAAAAUUCAUAUUGGAGAGAAGCCUUAUGAGUGUAGUGAGUGUGAGAAAACAUUCAGCCAGCACUCCCAACUUACCAUACAUCAGAGAAUUCAUACGGGAGAGAAGCCUUACGAGUGCCAAGAGUGUCAGAAGACCUUUAGUCGGAGCUCUCACCUCCUCCGACAUCAAAGUGUUCAUUGUAUGGAAUGACCUGCAAAAUAGAAAAGCUUUCUGGGGAAAGGCUGAAGUCAUACUUAUUGGUCUUAAUAUGCAUCCCAGAUUCUCAGAUCAAAUGAAAGGAAAGACCUCUGUCCUUCCACUGAUUUUUUUUUUUUUUUUUAAUUUCAAUCGUUGGUUGAAAAAGGAUGAGGCACUUUUAUGAACUAUUCAUUGAGAAGUUUUGAUGUACUGGUUUAAAUCAUAAAAGCUGUUUCAGGCCUUAAUUCUCAUCUGUCCCUCUUCCCUUCCCCUCUUUGCUCCUCCCCCAGUGGAUUACAUAACAUUAUGGGUUUGUACCUGCCAUCUAUCCUACUUGGUUGCUCUUCUGAAAAGUGGAGAAACAGGAUUCACCACCUCCUAAAAAUUACAGGGCUGACUCAUUGAACUUUACCCUCUGAAAUGUUAUAAAGUAAUGACCUAGAUGACACAUCUCAUUUUUGUGUCCACUGUUUAGCCUUGGAAUAAUUUAGCAUAUUUCUAUUAAUAGCCUCAAGGUCUUCCAGCUAUGCUAUCAAGUUCCCUUAGAAGAUGGCAGCAUUAAUGAAAAAGCAGGAAGGUUGGGUCAUUUCACAUCUGUUAGGCUUCCUCAUUCAUCUGAAGAGGAUGCCGUGAAGGAGGAAACUGACAGGCAGUUCACAGAAUUGUAAAUGAAGGCCGCAGGAUCCAAAAGGUCUGAUUGAGCAAGGUGCUGAUGACUGCAGUGUGCUCUCUCAUUCCUUAUUUGUUACUCAAGCUCAAAUGAGUUGUGCUGAGAACAUCUUUCUCACAUGAAACCUGGAUGCUACCUAACUUCUGAUUUUUGUGUUUGUAUAAUUUAUUGCCACCUUCAUCUCUUGCCAGUCCAGAACUUAGCAACUCUUCAAGCUCUCCCCACAAAGAUUCUACCUAAACAAAUGCAUGAGUAAUAAGGAUUUCAUUGACGAUGCUGUGUGAAAGGUGGAGAAAAGUUCACAUUGUACAUCCCAUCAGACACUUUUUUCCACAUUUUUUAAUUGGUGUAUUAUAGUUGUAUGUAUUGAUGGGAUCUGUUAUUACAUAUUCAUCCCAUCAGACAUUUUGUUCUCAGCAGUUCCUUGUUGGCUAAACUUCCAGUGAAGUUUUUUUUUUUUUUUUCCUUUUCUCUGUCCUUCCCUCUCAGGGAAUCAGCCAUCUUAGUUCUUUUCUUCUUGCCAGAUACCCUACACCCUCUGCACUUAGCUCAGUUACCUUAGACCCAUCACUAUUGAAGGAAGAGAAGGCUCUUCAGUUAGCAAUUCACUCAUUUGAACAUUAGUAACCAACUUUUGUUGUAACUGAGCGUGUCUUAAGAUGGGGGGAGGUCUCAUGUCAUUCUCAGGAGAAUCUUCCAAUGUGUAUUAUAUUGCUUUCCCAAGAGGAAUUCUGGUGAGUGAAAUCGUCUCCAUCUUGUUAUGUACACCACACACACAUUCUAUAACACCAUUUUCUGUCCUCUUCAUCUGUACCCCAGUUAUCUCAGAUUUCUCAAUUUUCCUUCCUCUUUCUUCAACUUACAUGGGAGUUAAUAUCUGACCAUAAUUGUGACUGGUAGUCAUGAUCCUGUGCAAGUAGAAUUAUGUAAAGGAAAAGUCAUGAAUUAAUUUUAAACCCAUUAAAAAUAAAGUCUCCAUAUCUCAAAGUCCUACCUAAAUACCCAGAAAUAUCCUCCAGAAUUUUAGAAGCUAUGUCAGUUUACAUUUUUUUCCUUCCAGAACUAACACUAGGUAAAUAAAGUCUGUGUAUAAUUUUCCCAUAUGAUGCCUUUCUAAUGUUUAUUAUUACAAACUGCAUUAUAUUCCAUUAUGGUCCUAAUAUGACUUUAUGCCAGUUUCAUCCCUGUAAGUUUCACCCCUACCCAAGUACUUCAAUCUGCUGUGCUGUUACUUUAGCUUCUGAUUUUGCAUACACAGUUCACUCUGUCCUUGACCUGUUGCUUUGCUUGGUGAGUUCCUUUAUCUUUCAUGCUAGGCCAAGAGUUAUCUACUGUGUUUGUGUGUACACAUUUUUCUUCAUUAAUAAUGUAAGAUAUUCUGGGUCAUCUGGAUGGUCAGUUUUGCUUUUUGGGGUGGGUACCAGGGAUUGAACUCAAGGGCACUUGACCUCAAGCCACAUCCCCAGCCCUAUUUUGUAUUUUAUUUAGAGACAGGGUCUCACUGAAUUUAGGGCCUUGCUAAGUUGCUGAUGCUGGCUUUGAACACAUGAUCCUCCUGCCUCAGCCUCCCGAGCCACUGGGAUUACAGAUUUCAGGAUUGCCAUUGCUAGUUGUCUACAACUCAAUUUUACAUGUGUUCUAAAGACUCCUGGUCCAAGUUAAGUUACUAAGGCUGUUAAAUCAAGAAUCUUUGAGAAUCAGGAAAGCUCUCCCCAGAAAAAUACAUACAAAUUGGAAUUUGUGAAUCUUCUGAAACCCAUCCUUUGGACCCCUGUGGUCCUUUAUGCAUUCCUAAAAUUGAAUUCUUGAAUUAAGGAAAAAAUUACCAAAUAACUUCCACAAUAACUUCUGCUUGUCCCUCAGUUUUUGGGAUGAAAUUAUCAAAAUACCCUCCCAAGGUAAAGCUGGAAAUGGAUGGCAGCUGGAGCCUGAGUAAAAAUACAGUGAGAAGGGUGGGGACAAUUCUAGUCAUAACUUGAAUAAGGGAGCCUCAGUGAGAAGUCAGUAUGAAGUCAUCCACUUGCUGUAAUGUGAUAGCAAAGUGCAGGUGGGGUGAGCUGAGACUUGGGUGACUUGAAUAACCUGGUGGUGGUCAGCACUGUGAAGCACUGAACUUGAAUUGCACCUCCUCUCAGGUAUGCUCUCACAGCAGCUUCCUGUCAGGACUCAGACCCAUAUUAUGGUAAGUCACAAAAAACAGUGCUUCCUAUGUGGCAGUACCUCCUAUUGACCUUCCUGUUCAUAUGAACAGCUACUGAGCACUGCACUUGGAAUUUGUACUGGAUGCUGCCUCAAGAACCCACACUUCAUUACUAAAGCAAUGAAUUCUAUCAAGUACAGCACAGGAAGUGGAGACCACACAAUGCAGACUGCUGCUCAAAUAUCUGCUGAGAGAAAAUGUUCCAACUUUUUCAAGAUGUUCUCUCCAUUCCAUCCAACCUCCCUCUCCCAGGCAGUCUUCACAGGAUGAUUUCUGAAAGGGCUUCCCUGUUCAUGGCCACACCCCAGGAAACCAUGGUGCAAGGGAAACAUGGAAGCAGGAAAAUAGGACAGCAAGAAGAUCCUGGAAUAGCAAAUGUUUAAAUUGCUUGGUUGUCUGCAAGUCCCUUCAUCAGUGGUUUCUUUAUUCCAGGCAGGGUUUGCUUGCUUCUUGCACCUUCCUAUUAGUGAGAUUUUACUGGUGGAGCCAAUGAAGUAGAAUGGAAAUGUACUCAGCUGAAACUAAGAUCUUGUAAAUAGCUGGACAUGGUGGCACACAGCUGUAAUCCCAGUGACUGGUAUAGCUGAGACAGGAGGAUCACAUGUUCAAGGCCAACCUCAGCAACUCUGCUCCAUAAAAGGAGAACCAUUUUUUUCCCCUUCCAGGUACUAGGGAGUGAACCCAGGGUGCUUUGCCACUGAGCUACAUCCCCACCUCUUUUUGACAAAAGUUUUAAGUUACCCCUUAAACCUUUGAACUUGUGAUCCUCCUGCCUAAGCCUCCCAAGUUGCUGGGAUUACAGGCCUGUACCACUCCACCUGGCUCUAUAGGAGUUAGUAGGCAAAUGGCCGUCCUGCCAGAGGCAUUUUCCAAACUCCUUGGGAGAUACAUGUAGCCACAUAAUCACAUUCUGACCAAAGGAUUGGGCUACCUUGCAUGACACUUGCUGAAAGGGAAAUUGCUUGUCCUUGUGAUUAUUUCCAAUUUCCUGUGAGCUGGAAUAAGAAUAUGGCAACGAUACAGCUUCAACCAUACAAAAAUAUCACCAGGGAAUAAAAACAAGAUGAAAAAUAUAUAGGCUCCUGAGUAUUAAGUGAAACUGAACUGGUCUGCCCUCUAGACCAGAGCUUGGCACUUUUUCUGUAAAAGGCCAGAUGGUAAAU
RNA transcript from Sciurus carolinensis (gray squirrel), 5781 nucleotides. It is a transcript of the gene named ZFP3 zinc finger protein, with no coding region annotated. The transcript is spliced from 3 exons. Lineage: Eukaryota; Metazoa; Chordata; Mammalia; Rodentia; Sciuridae. The record is from RefSeq and is a predicted model, not a curated record.